This 683-nucleotide long non-coding RNA is filed under the name Bactrocera tryoni. RNAcentral's name for it is "uncharacterized LOC120780952". Lineage: Eukaryota; Metazoa; Arthropoda; Insecta; Diptera; Tephritidae. The record is from RNAcentral.
UUUGUAAUGAAAAUGUAAAUCGUUCAGUUCUAAGCGAAUUAGAAACCAAUUCUAGGGUCAUAACACCGAUGGAAAUAUCUCCGGUUCCUAUAAAAAAACCCAGCCUUUCAAUCGUGGCAGGCCAGCAGGAAAGUCCACGUUAAUAACAUCUUCGCCUUAUAAAAAAUCUUUACAAAUUUCAUUGGAGAAAGCAUCCGAAAAAGAACCUCUGAGAAAAGCCAACAGACGAUAGGAUAUUGAUUCGAAUGAACCCAGCUCUUCCAAGGGAAUUAUCAAAAAACUAAAUUUUGCAAAAGAAAAGUGUACAGAACCCAAAAAACACCAAGAUAAUUCUAGUCAACCCAGCACUUCCAAAGCACUUAUGAAAUCAAUAAAUUCAGCAAGAGAAAAAUGUUCAGGAAAAAGGAAGAAAACAAAUUCCUCAUCCUCUUCGGACUUGGAUGACAAUUACAGUGUCCGGGCCGAAUCUGACGGUGAAAUUUUAGAAUUUGUAAACGCCGGUGAGAAAGAGGAUGCGAAAUGCCUAUAUUGCUCUACGUUUUAUUCGGAAGAUCGGUCUGGUGAAAUAUGGGUUCAAUGUGUCUCUUGCAAAAAUUGGAGCCAUGAGGAAUGUGCUGGUUGUGAACAAAUUUCUUUAUAUGCGACAUGUGUACACAAUAAUAACUUCGGCUAAUAUGGACUAC